RNAcentral lists this ribosomal RNA (253 nucleotides) under uncultured bacterium. Its description in RNAcentral is "partial 16S ribosomal RNA". It matches the Rfam family "Bacterial small subunit ribosomal RNA", at positions 524 to 776 of the family's 1533-position model. The record is from RNAcentral.
UACGAAGGGGGCUAGCGUUGUUCGGAAUUACUGGGCGUAAAGCGUGCGCAGGCGGCUUCUCAAGUCAGGGGUGAAAGCCCAGAGCUCAACUCUGGAAUUGCCUUUGAGACUGCAUCGCUGGAGUACGGCAGAGGGGGAUGGAAUUCCGCGUGUAGCAGUGAAAUGCGUAGAUAUGCGGAGGAACACCGAUGGCGAAGGCAAUCCCCUGGGCCUGUACUGACGCUCAUGCACGAAAGCGUGGGGAGCAAACAGG